GGGCCAUUAGCUCAACUGGCAGAGCAGCGGACUUUUAAUCCGCGGGUUCAGGGUUCGAUCCCCUGGUGGCCCA
RNAcentral lists this transfer RNA (73 nucleotides) under Thermobifida halotolerans. It matches the Rfam family "tRNA". Rfam says of the family: Transfer RNA (tRNA) molecules are approximately 80 nucleotides in length. Their secondary structure includes four short double-helical elements and three loops (D, anti-codon, and T loops). The record is from Rfam by way of RNAcentral. Lineage: Bacteria; Bacillati; Actinomycetota; Actinomycetes; Streptosporangiales; Nocardiopsidaceae. RNAcentral also lists the same sequence under 6 other names.